RNAcentral lists this ribosomal RNA (1427 nucleotides) under metagenome. RNAcentral's name for it is "bacterial SSU rRNA". It matches the Rfam family "Bacterial small subunit ribosomal RNA". The record is from RNAcentral.
GGAGCUUGCUCCGCUGACGAGUGGCGAACGGGUGAGUAAUAUAUCGGAACGUACCAUUCAGUGGGGGAUAACGUAGCGAAAGUUACGCUAAUACCGCAUAUUCUGUGAGCAGGAAAGCAGGGGAUCGCAAGACCUUGCGCUGAUUGAGCGGCCGAUAUCAGAUUAGCUUGUUGGUGAGGUAAAAGCUCACCAAGGCGACGAUCUGUAGCGGGUCUGAGAGGAUGAUCCGCCACACUGGAACUGAGACACGGUCCAGACUCCUACGGGAGGCAGCAGUGGGGAAUUUUGGACAAUGGGGGCAACCCUGAUCCAGCCAUGCCGCGUGAGUGAAGAAGGCCUUCGGGUUGUAAAGCUCUUUCAGCCGGGAAGAAAACGCAUGGGUUAAUACCCUGUGUGGAUGACGGUACCGGAAUAAGAAGCACCGGCUAACUACGUGCCAGCAGCCGCGGUAAUACGUAGGGUGCGAGCGUUAAUCGGAAUUACUGGGCGUAAAGCGUGCGCAGGCGGUUUUGUAAGACAGGCGUGAAAUCCCCGGGCUUAACCUGGGAACUGCGUUUGUGACUGCAAGGCUAGAGUACGGCAGAGGGGGGUGGAAUUCCACGUGUAGCAGUGAAAUGCGCAGAGAUGUGGAGGAACACCAAUGGCGAAGGCAGCCCCCUGGGUCGAUACUGACGCUCAUGCACGAAAGCGUGGGUAGCAAACAGGAUUAGAUACCCUGGUAGUCCACGCCCUAAACGAUGUCAACUAGGUGUUGGGAGGGUAAAACCUUUUAGUACCGGAGCUAACGCGUGAAGUUGACCGCCUGGGGAGUACGGCCGCAAGGUUAAAACUCAAAGGAAUUGACGGGGACCCGCACAAGCGUGGAUGAUGUGGAUUAAUUCGAUGCAACGCGAAAAACCUUACCUACCCUUGACAUGCCAAGAACUUUCCAGAGAUGGAUUGGUGCCCGAAAGGGAACUUGGACACAGGUGCUGCAUGGCUGUCGUCAGCUCGUGUCGUGAGAUGUUGGGUUAAGUCCCGCAACGAGCGCAACCCUUGUCGUUAAUUGCCGUCAUUUAGUUGGGCACUUUAACGAGACUGCCGGUGACAAACCGGAGGAAGGUGGGGAUGACGUCAAGUCCUCAUGGCCCUUAUGGGUAGGGCUUCACACGUCAUACAAUGGUCGGUACAAAGGGUCGCCAAGCCGCGAGGUGGAGCCAAUCCCAGAAAGCCGAUCGUAGUCCGGAUCGCAGUCUGCAACUCGACUGCGUGAAGUCGGAAUCGCUAGUAAUCGUGGAUCAGAAUGUCACGGUGAAUACGUUCCCGGGUCUUGUACACACCGCCCGUCACACCAUGGGAGCGGGUUCCGCCAGAAGUAGGUAGCCUAACCGCAAGGAGGGCGCUUACCACGGCGGGGUUCGUGACUGGGGUGAAGUCGUAACAAGGUA